Pongo pygmaeus (Bornean orangutan) is the source of this 332-nucleotide long non-coding RNA. RefSeq lists it as uncharacterized. The record is from RefSeq and is a predicted model, not a curated record. The transcript has 3 exons. Lineage: Eukaryota; Metazoa; Chordata; Mammalia; Primates; Hominidae.
GUAGGAUCGCUCCUGUGUAGGGCGUCUGACAACCCCUGUUGGAGGGUCUCACCCAGGUUGGGGCAGGGUUUCCUCAAUCUUCACCCCAAGAAUCUGGUGAAAUUCCUGAAGGUAAAAUUCAUGAAAGUGUGGAGAUCCACCCUAAAGUGAGGCACCCGAAGUUUUAUCUCUCAAGCUGAUUUACAUUAAGUCUCCAGCAAUUAGUCAAUUUUCCUUAAAUACUCCUACCUGUCUCUAGCAGCAACUUCUGCUCCAGAUCCUUUGGCAGCCCUUCUCAAGGACCUCUGUGAGACAAAAGCAGAAAUGGCUUCCCUGGGGACCAAGAGAGCCCA